UACGUAGGGUGCAAGCGUUAAUCGGAAUUACUGGGCGUAAAGGGCGCGUAGGCGGCCAUCUAAGUCAGACGUGAAAUCCCCCGGCUUAACCUGGGAACUGCGUCUGAUACUGGACGGCUUGAGUAUGGGAGAGGGAUGUAGAAUUCCAGGUGUAGCGGUGAAAUGCGUAGAUAUCUGGAGGAAUACCGGUGGCGAAGGCGGCAUCCUGGACCAUUACUGACGCUGAGGCGCGAAAGCUAGGGGAGCAAACGGG
This 253-nucleotide ribosomal RNA is filed under the name uncultured bacterium. RNAcentral describes it as "partial 16S ribosomal RNA". It matches the Rfam family "Bacterial small subunit ribosomal RNA", at positions 524 to 776 of the family's 1533-position model. The record is from RNAcentral.